UGUGAUUCCACCUACCCCCCAGACAGGGGCAAUCCAGGAUAAAGAGAAGACGGUGCCAGAGUCAUGCCAGCUGGGAUUGUUCUCUUGCCCCGGAUUCACUACAGAACUAAGAGUCCCCCAUGCUGGUCCUCUCAGGCCAUCUGGAGUUAGGAAAAGCAGACGGAAGCAAGGCCAGACCCCCUGUCGACGGUCAGUAAGCAACGGCCAUUUGAAGCUGAGCCAGGGAGUGGGAGCCAGACUGGGGGGGAGGGGGUGCUGGCUAGCAUCUGGGCUGAGUCUGUCUGGAGGAGGGGCUUGGGGAAGGCCAGGCCAGGCUGGGCUCUUUUGGGCAGCGAUGCAGGUACAGAACGUGGACUUCUCAGGGUGCCUGGAACAGACCCAGCACAAGGCAUUGACUCAAAACAAACAAGGCUCUUAAGAUACUGAUAAAAAUAGUAACGGUGGUGACAAUGACGACAAUAACAAUAGCUAACAUUUAUUUUGGAGCUCCUUUGUGCCACCGGCCAGGCCACAUAGUUUGCUUGAAUUAGCUCCUAUUAAUCCUCUUGACAGACCUAUCAAGUAGAUACUAUUUUUAUUCGCGCUGUACAGAUGAGGGAACUUACCGUGAGAAGGCUAGUCGAGGGGCUCGAGUUACUUAGCGGGUAAGUGAUGAACAGUUAUUUAAACCCAGACAGUCCUACACUAGCCCUUCCCAAGCCUUCUGCUUCUCAUUACAUGGGGCCUUCAUUCCCCCCUGCCGUUCAGGCCUCAUUCCCUAAGAUUCCUCCUCCAGCUCUUAUUCUCAAACUAACUAUAACUAACGUAUCAGCAAAGCCCCACAAGCAUUGCCUUGAACCUUUCUCCUCAACGUGGCCCCUUAGCAUUAUCUCCCAACCACAAGUGUAUCAGUCAGAGGCGCUAGGUUAUGCCUCAGUGACAAAGAGCCCCCAUCUCUCAGCAGUUUAAUUUAACGAAAGUUUAUCUCUUGCUCUUGCUACACAUGAACUACAGAUACAUGGGGGCCUCUGCUCCAUGUCAUUCUCACUUAUGGGCCCAGGCAGACAGGGUUUCUAGAAUUCUAAUGUCACCAUGAUAUGGCCAAGAAAGGGAGAAUCGUGCACUAGCUCUUAGAGGUUUCUCCUUCUCACUUUUUAUUGAUUGAAGCAAACCACAUGUCCACACCUAAUUUUACCAGGGGGGAAGGGCAAUUCUACCUCAGACCCGGGAGGAGACCUAGCGACACAGGUGGGCCACAUAGGUGCCCAGUCACUGCCGAGCCAGUCUCCAUUCUCUCUUGCACAAAGACCUUGAACAGCUUCAAACUGGUCUCCUCACUUCCCCUCCCGCUCUUGCCCUAUAAUCCCUUAUCCAUGCAACAGCCAGAAUGAUCUAAAACAUACAUCAGAUGACUUUACUCUUCGGCUCAAAGUCCUCAAAUGGCUUCUAUCACAUUAACAAGAAAGGUAAAGUUUCUCAUCCUGGCCUACGAGGCUCCAGAACAAGGGUCAGCAAGCUGUCGCCCUCUGGCCACAUCCAGCCCACCGCCUGUCUUUAUCAAUAAAGUUUUAGUGGAACAAAGUCAGUUUGCUGACUCCUAUCUCAAAGGACCCGGACACUGCCUCCCCCCAGACUUUAUUUCUCCUCGUUCCCCCUUGUACACUCCCUCCAGCCACACUGCACAGCCUGUGAUUCCUGCAAGUACCCAGCUCACUCCCACCUAGGACCAUUGCACACUCUGUCUUCCCACCAUCCUCCUCCCUCACUUUUAACACAGCCCACUCCUCCCUGUCCUUCUGGCUUCUUCUCUGAUAGCACCUGCUCAGGGGGUCCCGCCUGACCCCUUUCAAUAGCAACCAGGCAAGCUCUUUAACCCUUUCUCCCCUCAUUCGUCUCCAACCAAAAUGAUAGCACAGAUGCUAUUUAUUUCCGUGUUUCCAGUCUUGCCCCUUAUUAAGGUCUGUGAAGUCUUGGAAGUUUUGUAUUGAGAGACCUGGAGUGGUCUCGGUACAUUGAGACAAUCUUCUCUUCGCCUGUGCCUUCUGUGUCCCUCUUUUUUAAGCUGACGAGAGCCCUCCUGGGGAGGAAAUUUUCAAUUUUUGGCCUCAGCUCCAAAGAGAAUAUACUUCCAUGAGAUUUUCAAGAUCGCUUUAUGGCUGAGGAUUUGAAUUUUUGCAUUUGAGGGUCAAGGACAAUAGUGGUAUUAUUAUGGCUUUUUAAAAAACACUUCAAGCAAAUUCCGGUCAUCUUUGGGAGGCAAACUUUGAACAUCUCGGCAGUCCCCAAGGAGAACAAUCUUCUGUAACUUUGAAGCCAAAUGGGAUUUCUGAAAAGGAAGCUACAGUCAAUUGAAAACUCUCAGUGGAGCGUGAAGGGCAGAGGAGUCCCCGCGGUGGGCCGCAGCUGAGCUCGCCCAGGCUGGACGUGCCCUUCCCGGCUGGAGAGAGACCGCACAGACAGCACAGUAGGCGUGCUGGAGGCUGCACGGGUCUCCGACCCGAAUCUCUGCUCGGAUACCAGCUCAGAAGACCAAGUAUUUCUUCCUCGAUCUUUGCUAUGGGCUUGGCUGUUUUCAGAUGACUUUAGGUGACUAAGACAGAAAAGACAGGCAAAAGAAAAACAAAGUGAGACUCUGCCCACCUUCUCCCCAGCAGAGAUGCUCUGGGAUAUAGCAGAAACAAAGAGGCACCAUGCUACAGUCUUGUCUCCCGAAAAGCUCACCUGGAUGUGUUUCCAAUCCAGGAUGGUUCCAAUCUAGAAGUCCUACCGAACUUCAGGGGCUGCUGUGCAGAAGGAAGAAGAGGACUGUUGCUGAGCCAUGGAGGACAGCAGGGAGGGAGAGGAAUUGGUGGGAGAGGGGCUGUGGCAACCAGGGGUAGAGUGAUGCUCCCGGGCAGGCUGGACCCACUGCCCCUGCUGGGGGCUUCAAAUCAUUGACCUCCCAGCAGAGGAGGGCACGGAGGCUGGUGCUGCCCCCAGGCUGCCUCCACGGUACAGGACGAAGGCAAGGAGAAGAAAGAACCCUGAUCCCAGAGCGACAGCUUGAGGUCUCCCUAGGUGCACGCCAGUCCACACGGGUGCCAACCUCACAUUCUGGUGAGAGCUUCCCAAAUGCCUCGGGCUGCCUCUCUCCCCCGGCCUCUGCCCGCCCUGCCCACUGCGCAUCCUUCUCUGGUCUUCUCGUCUCUCGUAACAGCUCUGUCUGUUGCCUUCUCCACAAAUGCACCCUUCCCGUGGCUGCCAGAAAAUCUCUCGAGGUGGAAAUCUGCUCAUAUAUCUCCCUGCCCACCGUCCACCAUGGGCUCCUGCCUGCCCGGGGGGAAAAACCCCUGUCCUUAUCUGGGUGAACCAAGGCCCUCCAUACUCUGUCCUGCCCGGAAGCACAUUUCUCUCCCUCCCCUCCAGUCUUACAGCCCAAACCUGUCACACCAACCUUCUCUGCAUUCGGGGAACGCAGUAUAUCCUUCCCAAACUUCUCCCUUUGCACAUGCUGUGCCCUCUUUCUGGAAUGCCCUUCCCUUCUGCCUUGGGCAAGGGCAGAGGUGGCAGGGAGGAGGUUUGGAUAUCCCAUGGAGUUUGGGCUGGAUCCUUUUGCCUGGUGAUUCUCAAACAUUGUCACGUGACAAAGCUCCUAUAACACACCGGUCCUUUUCAGGACACCACAGACUCUUGAUACUUUUAAGAGACAGGCCUCUUUGAUACAGGACUGCCAUGUUCCUUAGGCAUACACAGCUCUCGACACAUAUAUGAUGUUUUUAAUAAAACACAUUUCCAAGUUGUUCACAUGAUGUGUUCUUUUCAUUUGCACAGUAAUUUUCUAAUGUGCCUGGGUUAGCAAACUGUAGCAUGUAGCUGUGAAUCUGUUCAACUCGGUGAGCCCUGAGUUCCUUUUCCUGUACGAUAAUGAGAGCAAUUUCACAAGGAUUGAGCAGAUGAAAGCCGCUGGUGCACGCACGAGGAGUCCGGGACGUGCCAACAGCUUUUCUCCCCAUCUUCUUCCCCAUACAUGACCCACGGGCCCCUUUGCUCCAUAUGCACUGUGACCCACGGCUCCCGGCUGGGACCCUGGUUUGGUCCUGUGGCACAUAUUCAAUGUUUUCCUGUGUCCAGUAUUCACUUCCUUUUUUUUAAAAUACAUUUUUAAACUUUAUUUAUUUAAAAAAAAUUUUUUUUUUCAACGUUUAUUUAUUUUUGGGACAGAGAGAGACAGAGCAUGAACGGGGGAGGGGCAGAGAGAGAGGGAGACACAGAAUCGGAAACAGGCUCCAGGCUCUGAGCCAUCAGCCCAGAGCCUGACGCGGGGCUCGAACUCCCGGACCGCGAGAUCGUGACCUGGCUGAAGUCGGACGCUUAACCGACUGCGCCACCCAGGCGCCCCAAACUUUAUUUA
Acinonyx jubatus (cheetah) is the source of this 4369-nucleotide long non-coding RNA. RefSeq lists it as uncharacterized. The transcript has 2 exons. Lineage: Eukaryota; Metazoa; Chordata; Mammalia; Carnivora; Felidae. The record is from RefSeq and is a predicted model, not a curated record.